GCAGGUUCCGUGCACCGUGCAAAACCGGAAUAGAACGGCCACGAAGGUUCAGUUCAACAACUUGACAGGUCCACCGGCCUGGUCCAGGCUUCCAGGUCAAGCAGCAAAGCCCAUGCCGGCCUUAGACAAUCCCGUGGCCUCCCUCCCUCAGCCUCCUGGGUGCUGCAGUUGCAGGUGUGGACUGUCAUGCAGGCUCCAUUUACCCCUGAGGAAAGCAGAAGGAGCGGAAGGGCCUCAGAGAGACCAAGACCUGGAGGUCCCAUUCCAGAGCUUCAGGGACCGCUGGUCUCACACUGUAGCCGAGGCCUAUAUGGCUGCAAAGUUGCCACAAUCCACCUGCCUGCCUCGUCUUCCUGAGCGUUGGGACUGCAGACAUGAGACAUAGAUGCCUCUUGUCUCUGUAUGGUGAAUGGCUCCUUUCCCCUUCCUGCAAGGUUGUCUUUCGGUUGGGUAAAAUGAAGCAGGCCACUGGAGAGGCCCUUUGACAAUCUGUAUGACAAUUCCUCUCAUACUCGUAUUGUUAGAGGAUGUGUCUUGGAUGUUGGGAGAUAAAAAAACAAAAAACAAAAACCAAAAAACAACAAAAACCCAUCUAAACAACUAAAAAGAGUGCAGCUUUCUUUUUUUCAUGAAGUCAUAUUCAAUCUAUUGAAUCCAUCAGUGGUGACCGUCCACCUUGGACAGUCCCUCCCCGAUCUGAAACAGGAUGGAGAAAGGCUAUUAAACUGCAUUUAACAAAUUCAGAACGGCAGGCUCUUGGCUAGGGGAAUGGAUUCCACUUAGGAGAAGCGGUUCUUUCUCAAAGGAGGCCAGUUUGCCUGGAGAAGAGAACUUGGAGGGG
Long non-coding RNA from Psammomys obesus (fat sand rat), 841 nucleotides. RefSeq lists it as uncharacterized. The record is from RefSeq and is a predicted model, not a curated record. The transcript has 3 exons. NCBI's taxonomy places the organism in Eukaryota, Metazoa, Chordata, Mammalia, Rodentia, Muridae.